This 486-nucleotide ribosomal RNA is filed under the name Salmonella enterica. RNAcentral's name for it is "partial 23S ribosomal RNA". It matches the Rfam family "Bacterial large subunit ribosomal RNA", at positions 34 to 559 of the family's 2925-position model. The record is from RNAcentral. RNAcentral also lists the same sequence under 2 other names. Lineage: Bacteria; Pseudomonadati; Pseudomonadota; Gammaproteobacteria; Enterobacterales; Enterobacteriaceae.
UGGCAGUCAGAGGCGAUGAAGGGCGUGCUAAUCUGCGAUAAGCGCCGGUAAGGUGAUAUGAACCGUUAUAACCGGCGAUACCCGAAUGGGGAAACCCAGUGUGAUUCGUCACACUAUCAUUAACUGAAUCCAUAGGUUAAUGAGGCGAACCGGGGGAACUGAAACAUCUAAGUACCCCGAGGAAAAGAAAUCAACCGAGAUUCCCCCAGUAGCGGCGAGCGAACGGGGAGGAGCCCAGAGCCUGAAUCAGCAUGUGUGUUAGUGGAAGCGUCUGGAAAGGCGCGCGAUACAGGGUGACAGCCCCGUACACAAAAGCGCAUGUGCUGUGAGCUCGAUGAGUAGGGCGGGACACGUGGUAUCCUGUCUGAAUAUGGGGGGACCAUCCUCCAAGGCUAAAUACUCCUGACUGACCGAUAGUGAACCAGUACCGUGAGGGAAAGGCGAAAAGAACCCCGGCGAGGGGAGUGAAAAAGAACCUGAAACCGU